This 481-nucleotide ribosomal RNA is filed under the name uncultured bacterium. Its description in RNAcentral is "bacterial SSU rRNA". It matches the Rfam family "Bacterial small subunit ribosomal RNA", at positions 30 to 506 of the family's 1533-position model. The record is from RNAcentral.
AUUGAACGCUGGCGGCAUGCUUUACACAUGCAAGUCGAACGGUAACAGGGAGCUUGCUCCGCUGACGAGUGGCGAACGGGUGAGUAAUGCAUCGGAACGUACCCAGUCGUGGGGGAUAACGUAGCGAAAGUUACGCUAAUACCGCAUACGUCCUGAGGGAGAAAGCGGGGGACCGUAAGGCCUCGCGCGAUUGGAGCGGCCGAUGUCGGAUUAGCUAGUUGGUAGGGUAAAGGCCUACCAAGGCGACGAUCCGUAGCGGGUCUGAGAGGAUGAUCCGCCACACUGGGACUGAGACACGGCCCAGACUCCUACGGGAGGCAGCAGUGGGGAAUUUCGGACAAUGGGCGAAAGCCUGAUCCAGCCAUGCCGCGUGAGUGAAGAAGGCCUCGGUUGUAAGCUCUUCAGGUGGAAGGAAAUACGCACUUUUAAUUACAGGUGUGGAUGACGGUACCGAUCAGAAGAAGACACCGGCUAACUACGU